This 491-nucleotide ribosomal RNA is filed under the name uncultured bacterium. Its description in RNAcentral is "partial 16S ribosomal RNA". It matches the Rfam family "Bacterial small subunit ribosomal RNA", at positions 29 to 506 of the family's 1533-position model. The record is from RNAcentral.
AGUGAACGCUGGCGGUAGGCCUAACACAUGCAAGUCGAACGGCAGCACAGUAAGAGCUUGCUCUUACGGGUGGCGAGUGGCGGACGGGUGAGGAAUACAUCGGAAUCUACUUUUUCGUGGGGGAUAACGUAGGGAAACUUACGCUAAUACCGCAUACGACCUACGGGUGAAAGCAGGGGAUCUUCGGACCUUGCGCGAUUGAAUGAGCCGAUGUCGGAUUAGCUAGUUGGCGGGGUAAAGGCCCACCAAGGCGACGAUCCGUAGCUGGUCUGAGAGGAUGAUCAGCCACACUGGAACUGAGACACGGUCCAGACUCCUACGGGAGGCAGCAGUGGGGAAUAUGGGACAAUGGGCGCAAGCCUGAUCCAGCCAUACCGCGUGGGUGAAGAAGGCCUUCGGGUUGUAAAGCCCUUUUGUUGGGAAAGAAAAGCAGCAGGUUAAGACCCCGCUGUUCGGACGGUACCCAAAGAAUAAGCACCGGCUAACUUCGU